CAGAGAUGCUGCCGGUCCCGCUGAGUUACUCCAGCAUUUUGUGUCCAUCUUCAAUUUUCUUGGCCCUGCUCUGGGGGUAGAAGUGAGGGCGGACCCGGACCACAACGGCCGUGAGCCCCAGGCCGAGUUCGGUGAUCGUUUGCCCGCUUCUGCGGCUGUUGCAGGUG
Amblyraja radiata (thorny skate) is the source of this 167-nucleotide long non-coding RNA. RefSeq lists it as uncharacterized. Lineage: Eukaryota; Metazoa; Chordata; Chondrichthyes; Rajiformes; Rajidae. The record is from RefSeq and is a predicted model, not a curated record. The transcript is spliced from 3 exons.